GAUGAAGAACGUAGUGAAAUGCGAUACGUAAUGUGAAUUGCAGAAUUCAGUGAAUCAUCGAAUCUUUGAACGCAUAUUGCGCUCUCUGGUAUUCCGGAGAGCAUGCUUGUUUGAGUAUCAGUAAACACCUCAACUUCCAUAUCUUUUUUGAAAUGGGAGUUGGACUUGAGUGAUCCCAACGCUUUUCCUCACCGAAAAGUGGCGGGUUACUUGAAAUGCAGGUGCAGCUGGACUUUUCUCUGAGCUAUAAGCAUAUCUAUUUAGUCUGCCUAAAAAACAGAUUAUUACCUUUGCUGCAGCUAACAUAAAGGAGAUUAGUUCUUGUGCUGACUGAUGCAGGAUUCACAAAGACAGGCUUCGGCCGACUUUGUAAACUCGAUCUCAAAUCAAAUAAGACUACCCGCUGAACUUAAGCAUAUCAAUAAGCGGAGGA
This 433-nucleotide unclassified non-coding RNA is filed under the name soil metagenome. RNAcentral's name for it is "partial contains 5.8S ribosomal RNA, internal transcribed spacer 2, and large subunit ribosomal RNA". The stretch from base 1 to 120 matches the Rfam family "5.8S ribosomal RNA", at positions 35 to 154 of the family's 154-position model. The record is from RNAcentral.